RNAcentral lists this ribosomal RNA (108 nucleotides) under Octodon degus (degu). Lineage: Eukaryota; Metazoa; Chordata; Mammalia; Rodentia; Octodontidae. The record is from RNAcentral.
GUCUACAGCCAUACCAUCCUGAAUGUGCCUGAUCUCAUCUGACCUCGGAAGCUAAGCUGGGUAGGGCCUGGUUAGUACUUUGAUGGGAGAAGCCCAUCAGAUUAGAAA